GUUGUCAACCAUGAAAUUGAGCGAAUUCAAGAUAGUGUGUAAUUCUCGUAUGAUGUUUCCCCAGCAUCUUUGCAGACAAGCAAAUGGAUGUCAUCACACCUUCCUAAACCCCCUUAUAGAUCACUGUUAAAUCUUGGAUGAAUUGAUAGGGAUGGUUUGAAGCUGGUAAUUUUUAGGAACAAAUGUCUUCGGACUUCCUACAAUACCUUGUCUGUACUUGUAAAGAAAAACUCAAAAUAACGUGUUUGCUUUGAGCAGAACCUUUCAUGUGCAGACCUGUGGCCAUGAGUGAAAUGUGUAGAAAUAUUAAAACAUGUCAAAAUGUUAGAAAUUAUUAUAAAUUAAGGAAUGUAUCUC
RNAcentral lists this long non-coding RNA (357 nucleotides) under Mytilus galloprovincialis (Mediterranean mussel). Lineage: Eukaryota; Metazoa; Mollusca; Bivalvia; Mytilida; Mytilidae. The record is from RNAcentral.